GGCAACUUGGCCGAGUGGUCUAAGGCGCUGGAAUUAGGUUAUCAUCCAUCCAGUCCUUCGGGGCGUGAGUUCGAACCUCACAGUUGUCA
Molecule: non-coding RNA, 89 nt
Organism: Hymenopellis radicata
Lineage: Eukaryota; Fungi; Basidiomycota; Agaricomycetes; Agaricales; Physalacriaceae
Source: the annotation of a GenBank genome assembly